GACGAUAUCUUGUUUACAGAGAAGCGGUUUUGUAAACCGAAGGUCGGGGGUUCAAUCCCCUCAGCCGGCACCA
RNAcentral lists this transfer RNA (73 nucleotides) under Bradyrhizobium canariense. Its description in RNAcentral is "tRNA-Thr". The record is from RNAcentral. Lineage: Bacteria; Pseudomonadati; Pseudomonadota; Alphaproteobacteria; Hyphomicrobiales; Nitrobacteraceae.